CAGCAGCCGCGGGAAUACGGAGGGCGCGAGCGUUACCCGGAUUUACUGGGCGUAAAGGGCGUGUAGGCGGGAGGGCACGUCCGUCGCUGAAAUCCCCCGGCUCAACCGGGGAACGGGCGCGGAUACGACUCUUCUGGAGGAACGUAGGGGGACCUGGAACUUCCGGUGGAGCGGUGAAAUGCGUUGAGAUCGGAAGGAACGCCCGUGGCGAAAGCGAGGUCCUGGACGUUUACUGACGCUGAGACGCGAAAGCCAGGGGAGCGAACGGGAUUAGAUACCCCAGUAGUCCCUGUCUCUUAUA
Molecule: ribosomal RNA, 301 nt
Filed under: uncultured bacterium
Lineage: Bacteria
Description: partial 16S ribosomal RNA
Rfam family: Bacterial small subunit ribosomal RNA
Source: RNAcentral